Brassica napus (rape) is the source of this 1952-nucleotide long non-coding RNA. RefSeq lists it as uncharacterized. The record is from RefSeq and is a predicted model, not a curated record. Lineage: Eukaryota; Viridiplantae; Streptophyta; Magnoliopsida; Brassicales; Brassicaceae. The transcript is spliced from 9 exons.
UUCAUCCGAGAUUAGGGCUUCAUCGUUCCCUUCCUUCUUUACAGAACUCAAACCGCCGUUUUAUCAUUUCAUGAUCUGGAAAACUACCUCUUCUCUUCUCAUCUCUAAACCUCCCCUGACAUUAUCUCUUCACCUCCUCUGAGAUAUGAGCGGCUUGUGAGGAUGAUUGACCCUCAGAACCACCAUCAGUUUAUCAGAGAUGGCUUCCUCCGAUAUUGUUCUUGUGCACUCCACCUUCGACCCUCUCCGACUCGGUAGAUCUGCCCAGACCAUUGGUUGUCGUCGCCUCCAUUUUUGGACUCGAAAAACAUCAAGAAGCAAGGUGAAUUCAUGGGAAUUAUUCUACUCCUCCUUUAUGAGAAGAAAUCGGAGAUACAUGGGUUCAUUCUUGUUGGUCGCGCCCCUUAUUACCAUCCGUCUUUGCGAGCAGGUUCAGUCGUGAGAGUCUCAUGAUUUGAAGUUGCAAGAUGUACAAAUAUGUACAAGAUUACGGAACACCCUUUUGUGAUCUGGUUCAUCCCCCAAACCACCAUUGAUGAAGUAAUCGAGAAUGCUCUCAUCAUCAACCUAGAGAAAUUCAUGCUGCGGAAGUUUGACCCUUUUCAAGCUCUCGCUAACACUAAUUUAGAACUCCCUGUUGUUGUUGGGCAAUUUCAAUCUGUCCAAAGUUUGGACCUGAAGGACGCUACAGUGACGAGUCAAGUUGUUGUUCGUUUCGUGAUUGAACCGAGCAGUGUUUAGGGUCUCUUUAACUCAGGUGAAAGGGCAGAGUCUGUCAUGGUGGUCACUACUGUGAAUCCCAAAAUAUUUGGAGGUAACCUAUACCUCAGCUCAACACCAGCAACGAAAUUUUAUUUUGACCUAGUCCUUCAAGCCAUCACAGAGUUCACAGCCAGCUAUCAACUCAUUAGAUGUUUCGGUUGAACUAAUAAUUAGUCUUGUGGUUACUUGACGUAUUAUGCCAUCUGGUUCCAGCUUAGAAGGCCCAUUUGGAGAAGUUUUCCCAAGUACCGAUACCAAAGACGAAGAGAUAAAAAAGAAGGAAGUUGUCUCAAUAGGAGAUUUUAACAAGUUCAUCUCCAAUUCUGACGACCAGACACAUGAAGCUGAUUUUAUUUGCAAAGCUCGAGUUGUUGAGGUGUUGCAACAAAAUGGCUGGUCUUUCGUCUCUUUCUCUGGAUGCAGCAGGGAGCUUGAAAAAGCAGGGACUUCUCUCCAUUGAAACCGAUGUGUUAAUCCGAACGUUACCGAAGUUAUAAAUUGAGUAUUUUUAAAAUUAUAAAUGCAUAAAAUAAUAGACAAUUCAUAUCAUUACGAUUUUUAAUGCCAAUCUUUAUUCCAAGUACCGUGUUAAGUUAUUGGUUGAUGAUGGAAAUGAUAUUGCUAAUUUUGUGGUGUUCGACAGAGAGAUGCUUAAACUCACUAAGAAAGAUGCAGCUGUUCUGACUCUAGAUGAGAUGAAUGUUGGUGGAGGUGAGGAACUCCCACAAUGCCUGAAAGAACUAGCUGGAAAAUAUUUUGUAUUUCAGAUACGUGUGAAACCAUUCAAUUUCACCUCGAACCACCGUACUUUCACUGUUUUUGCAAUCGUUAAUCACAUCAACCCGAGAUUUUCAAUACCAAUGAAGCACCAUUUGUUCAAGAGGAAGGUGGUGAACCAUCCGCAUCUGUCACCUACAAGGUUGGGAUAAAGCCAAUGAACCAUAUCCAUCCGGUGUUGAAGGCAAAGAGGGUGGCCGUAAACGCUCCCGCCAUUGAAGUUACAAAGCUGUUAAGUGUUAACCCAAGUCUGCUUCUGUGUCUUUACAAUUUCAGGACUUACUUUGCAUUUUCUACUUCAGACUCUUAUAUUUUUUUCAAAUUUCCAGAUUUUUUUGCCAUUUACGGCUAACUAACUCCAUGAGGAGAACAGUUUUAAAGAUUUAAUAUAAAAAGGGCCGGUUGACAAAAUA